RNAcentral lists this ribosomal RNA (806 nucleotides) under Streptomyces sp. RNAcentral describes it as "bacterial SSU rRNA". It matches the Rfam family "Bacterial small subunit ribosomal RNA", at positions 68 to 889 of the family's 1533-position model. Lineage: Bacteria; Bacillati; Actinomycetota; Actinomycetes; Kitasatosporales; Streptomycetaceae. The record is from RNAcentral.
GAUGAACCACUUCGGUGGGGAUUAGUGGCGAACGGGUGAGUAACACGUGGGCAAUCUGCCCUUCACUCUGGGACAAGCCCUGGAAACGGGGUCUAAUACCGGAUACCACUCUCACAGGCAUCUGUGGGGGUUGAAAGCUCCGGCGGUGAAGGAUGAGCCCGCGGCCUAUCAGCUUGUUGGUGAGGUAACGGCUCACCAAGGCGACGACGGGUAGCCGGCCUGAGAGGGCGACCGGCCACACUGGGACUGAGACACGGCCCAGACUCCUACGGGAGGCAGCAGUGGGGAAUAUUGCACAAUGGGCGAAAGCCUGAUGCAGCGACGCCGCGUGAGGGAUGACGGCCUUCGGGUUGUAAACCUCUUUCAGCAGGGAAGAAGCGAAAGUGACGGUACCUGCAGAAGAAGCGCCGGCUAACUACGUGCCAGCAGCCGCGGUAAUACGUAGGGCGCAAGCGUUGUCCGGAAUUAUUGGGCGUAAAGAGCUCGUAGGCGGCUUGUCACGUCGGGUGUGAAAGCCCGGGGCUUAACCCCGGGUCUGCAUUCGAUACGGGCUAGCUAGAGUGUGGUAGGGGAGAUCGGAAUUCCUGGUGUAGCGGUGAAAUGCGCAGAUAUCAGGAGGAACACCGGUGGCGAAGGCGGAUCUCUGGGCCAUUACUGACGCUGAGGAGCGAAAGCGUGGGGAGCGAACAGGAUUAGAUACCCUGGUAGUCCACGCCGUAAACGGUGGGAACUAGGUGUUGGCGACAUUCCACGUCGUCGGUGCCGCAGCUAACGCAUUAAGUUCCCCGCCUGGGGAGUACGGCCGC